CUGAAAUAACCCCCUAUUCAACCAAGAAAUCAAUCCUAACUUGUAAAAGAAGCUAUGGACAAGAGGGCGAGAAACGCGAAAUCCUGGUGGGAGAUAGCGCUUUCUCUUUUCCCCCAGAAAGUCUCAAGGUAGCAGCUCUCCGAGAUCCUUAAGCAAGGAAACUCACCCGCCGCGCUGCGGCUUCGCGGCCAGCAGGGCUGGGACAUACUCGCCGCCCGCUUCCGCACCGGGGACAGCUCCUGCCUCUCCAACUCCCGCAGCUCUUCCCGACGUCUUGCCGCGGACUGUGCCUCACAGGCUGCGGGAGGGGAGAGUGUCUCCCCACGCCGGGGUCCCGGCCUCUGGGUUUUAGGGAGCGCGAAUGGGUCUCCGAGAGCAUCGGGAGCAGCAGGUGGCGCCUCAGGCUGCGGUGGCCACGAGACCGACUGCACUACGGCGUUGCGGGACCGCGCCAGCGCGGAGGAGACCGAGCCCAUCUCAGCAGGCCGGGCCGGACCCAGGCCUCUGACCUCAUCCACCAAGAACCUGCCAGAGUUCCUUCCGGAGUCCCACCAACAGGUGCUCAGCAGAAUCUGCACCGAGGAGCAUUGGAAAGAUCUGACCCACCUGCCAACAUCCUACCAGAACCCGAAAGUCACCAAUUGGGAUUUAUGUCUUUGGAUCCUGAAGUUUUAACCAUUGACAAUGUUGAAUUUUACCUGAGCCCUGUGCUUCUGGAAAAGAGGGAAGGUCAAGCCAUCCCCCACUGUCUUAAUCAAUUCAGGCUGCUAUAGCAAAAAAUAUCGCAGCCUGGGUGGCUUAAACAGCAAACAUUUAUUUCUCACAGUUCUGGAGGCUGGAGGUCUGAGAUCAGGGUGCCAGCAUGACUGGGUUCUGUUGAGGAACCUCUUCCUGGUUACAUCUUCACAUGGCCUUUCCCUGGUGGGUGCACCCAGGAAAAGAGAUCUCAUGUCUUCUUCUCUUUUUAUAAGAGCACUAAUCCCAUCAUGGGGGCUCUAACCUGGUCCCACCUCCAAAUACCAUUACUUUGGGGAUUAAUAUUUCAACAUAUGAAUGAGGGGGAGGGCACAAACAUCCUUUUGUGUUGUGGAAAAUGGUUUACCACAAAAAACCACCCUUCCCCAUAUGACUAAGAAAAGACUCACAGAUGCCUCCUUGCUUAUCUAUGACAAGGCUAGACACAGACCUUUCAAAUUCCAAUUUUUUGCUUCAUAAACAAACUGUUAUGAACUGUCAUGAAGGACAUAGGACAAAAUAAGAAGUUAACCAAACUUGGCUGAAUGUGGUGGCUCACACCUGUAAUCCCAGCACUUUGGGAGGAUGAGACGGAUGGAUUACUUGAGGUCAGGAGUUCAAGAGCAGCCUGGCCAACACAGCGAAACCCCUUUCUACUAAAAAUACAAAAAUUAGCCAGGCAUGGUGGUGCACACCUGUAGUCCCAGCCACUCGGGAGGCUGAGACAGGAGAAUUGCUUGAACUCAGUGGGUGGAGGCUGCAGUGAGCCGAGAUCACACCACCGCACUCCAGCCUGGGUGACAGAGCAAGGCUGUCUCAAAAAUAAAAGUAAAAAAAGAAGAAGAAGUUAACUUGGU
Long non-coding RNA from Piliocolobus tephrosceles (Ugandan red Colobus), 1592 nucleotides. NCBI's taxonomy places the organism in Eukaryota, Metazoa, Chordata, Mammalia, Primates, Cercopithecidae. The record is from Ensembl.